GGCGAACGCUGGCGGCGUGCUUAACACAUGCAAGUCGAACGGAAAGGCCCUGCUUUUGUGGGGUGCUCGAGUGGCGAACGGGUGAGUAACACGUGAGUAACCUGCCCUUGACUUUGGGAUAACUUCAGGAAACUGGGGUAAUACCGGAUAGGAGGUCCUUCCUCAUGGUGGGGGUUGGGAAAUUUCGGCGGUUGGGGAUGGACUCGCGGCUUAUCAGCUUGUUGGUGGGGUAGUGGCUUACCAAGGCUUUGACGGGUAGCCGGCCUGAGAGGGUGACCGGCCACAUUGGGACUGAGAUACGGCCCAGACUCCUACGGGAGGCAGCAGUGGGGAAUAUUGCACAAUGGGCGGAAGCCUGAUGCAGCAACGCCGCGUGCGGGAUGACGGCCUUCGGGUUGUAAACCGCUUUCGCCUGUGACGAAGCGUGAGUGACGGUAAUGGGUAAAGAAGCACCGGCUAACUACGUG
This 467-nucleotide ribosomal RNA is filed under the name uncultured bacterium. Its description in RNAcentral is "partial 16S ribosomal RNA". It matches the Rfam family "Bacterial small subunit ribosomal RNA", at positions 28 to 507 of the family's 1533-position model. The record is from RNAcentral.